GGGGAAACUCGAGCUAAUACCGCAUAAUCCCUACGGGGGAAAGCAGGGGACCUUCGGGCCUUGUGCAGAUGGAUGAGCUCGCGUCGGAUUAGCUUGUUGGUGAGGUAAAAGCUCACCAAGGCGACGAUCCGUAGCUGGUCUGAGAGGAUGAUCAGCCACACCGGGACUGAGACACGGCCCGGACUCCUACGGGAGGCAGCAGUGGGGAAUCUUGGACAAUGGGGGCAACCCUGAUCCAGCCAUGCCGCGUGUGUGAAGAAGGCCUUCGGGUUGUAAAGCACUUUCAGUAGGGAGGAAGGCUUAGGAUUAAUAAUCGUGAGUACUUGACGUUACCUCAGGAU
This 341-nucleotide ribosomal RNA is filed under the name uncultured Gammaproteobacteria bacterium. RNAcentral describes it as "bacterial SSU rRNA". It matches the Rfam family "Bacterial small subunit ribosomal RNA", at positions 150 to 486 of the family's 1533-position model. The record is from RNAcentral. Lineage: Bacteria; Pseudomonadati; Pseudomonadota; Gammaproteobacteria.